AUGUUCCAAGAGAUGUUAGCUCCGCUGACUUUGUCGUCCACCGCACUUUUCCUCUCGUCUCGUUCACGUCAUGCUCUGAUUUUGACUCUUCAUUUUUCUAUACAAACUUCCUUUAAGUUAAACCUUCCACAACUCUUGCUCCCUAACUUCCAUUCUAAGUAUCCUCCUUAACUAAACUAAGGGAACCCCGAAACAGAAACAAACCCAGUUCUCCUUUUUCUUUCUUCAGCCAUGUUGAUGAAGAAGCUCGCAGUGUUGUUUCUGAUUUUGACAGCUGUUUUGAGCUCUGUGUGUGCGAGGUUUGUGGUUGAGAAGGGUAGUUUGAGCGUGUUGUCUCCUUUGAGCCUGCGUUCAAAGCAUGAUGGUGCAAUUGGGAACUUUGGGAUUCCUGACUAUGGAGGAUUUCUGGUGGGUUCUGUUGUGUAUCCUGACAAAGAAACUUUUGGUUGUGAAGCUUUUAAGGGUGAUAAGCCUUUCAAAUCUAAGUUUCACAGACCAACCAUUCUGCUUCUUGAUAGAGGAGAGUGCUUCUUUGUCUUGAAGGUAUGGAAUGGUCAACAGGCAGGAGCAGCGGCAGUUUUAAUUGCUGAUAACAUGGAUGAACCUCUGAUCACCAUGGAUUCUCCUGAGGACAGCACUGUUGCAGAUCGGUACGUGGAGAAAAUUGCAAUUCCCUCGGCGCUAAUAGAUCGCUCCUUUGGUGAGAGCUUGAAGCAGGCCUUGAAGAAAGGAGAAGAAGAUGUUGUCAUAAAAUUGGACUGGAGAGAGUCAGUGCCCCAUCCUGAUCAGAGAGUUGAGUAUGAAUUGUGGACAAACAGCAAUGAUGAGUGUGGAACUCGUUGCGAUGAGCAGAUGAACUUUGUCAAAAGUUUCAAGGGCCAUGCUCAAAUCCUGGAGAAGGGUGGCUACACUUUGUUUACACCACACUACAUAACCUGGUUUUGCCCUGUGUUUUUUAUUCACAGCAGCGAAUGCAAGUCUCAGUGCAUAAACCACGGGAGAUAUUGUGCGCCUGAUCCAGAACAGGAUUUUGGAGAAGGAUAUCAAGGAAAGGAUGUGGUUUUUGAGAACUUGAGGCAGCUUUGUGUGCACAGAGUCGCUAAUGAGAGUAACCGGUCCUUGGUUUGGUGGGAUUAUGUAACUGAUUUUCAUAUCAGAUGCUCCAUGAAGGGGAAGAAGUACAGCAAAGGAUGUGCUGAGGAUGUCAUGAAAUCACUUGAUCUGCCAAUCGAGAAGAUCAAGAAAUGUAUGGGAGAUCCUGAAGCUGAUGUGGAGAAUGAAGUGCUGAAAACAGAGCAAGAACUCCAGCUUGGUCGAGGAUCUCGUGGUGAUGUUACAAUCUUGCCAACACUAGUUAUCAACAAUGUACAAUAUCGAGGAAAAUUAGAUAGAAUGGCUGUGCUCAAGGCCAUAUGUGCUGGAUUCCGGGAGACAACUGAUCCUCCAAUUUGUUUAAGUGGAGAUCUUGAGACUAAUGAGUGCCUUGAAAGGAAUGGUGGCUGUUGGCAGGACACCAAAGCCAACAUUACUGCUUGCAAGGACACAUUUAGGGGAAGAGUCUGUGAGUGCCCUACCGUGAAGGGUGUCCAGUUCAGGGGAGACGGAUAUAUAUCCUGUGAAGCCUAUGGACCUGGAAGAUGUGAAUUAAACAAUGGAGGUUGCUGGUCGGACUCCAAAGAUGGAUUAACCUUCUCAGCCUGCUCAGAGUCCCAGUUAACUGGCUGUCAGUGUCCAAAGGGCUUCCGAGGGAAUGGUCUUACAUGCGAAGAUAUCAAUGAGUGCAAGGAGCAUUCCGCCUGUCAGUGCGAUGGCUGCUCCUGUAAGAAUACCUGGGGAGGAUAUGAGUGCAAGUGUAAAGGAGAUCUUCUUUACAUAAAGGAACAAGAUACUUGUAUUGAAAGAAGUGGAUCGAAAUUCAGAUGGUUACUCACUUCUGUGAUCCUAGUAAUUGUGGCCGCUGCUGGUUUAGCUGGUUACGUAUUCUACAAAUACCGACUUCGGUCUUACAUGGACUCAGAGAUCAUGGCCAUAAUGUCACAGUACAUGCCACUUGAAAACCAGCACAAUAACGAAGCAUCAGGCGAAGCACAACCUUUUCAACAAACAUAUGUAAGUAGAUUAUAAAGCAACUUAUGCUACAAAAAUACUGCAAAGCUUUUCAUGUUAGAAUCGAUGUAGCACAAACCACGCAGAUACAAAGGUCGAGCUGUAAGAAGGGCCUGGCAAAUGAUGCAAUGGAGUGUAGAAAUCAGUAAUUUAUCAGAAAUUAAACUUUGUUCUUACAGAUAAAGUUUGCCAAGAAUAUUUAUGUAGUAAGGUUAACAGUUGGAAAGUUACAAAUGGGGAAGCUUUGUAAAUGCAUAUAUACAAUAAAAGCUCCAGCUCCGAUUAGUCGCAGAAA
Molecule: RNA transcript, 2401 nt
Organism: Mangifera indica (mango)
Lineage: Eukaryota; Viridiplantae; Streptophyta; Magnoliopsida; Sapindales; Anacardiaceae
Gene name: vacuolar-sorting receptor 7-like
Exons: 14
Source: RefSeq, a predicted model, not a curated record